AUCCAGCUGACUAGUCCCAAAAAGGAUUAAACGCGCAUCCUGGAU
Molecule: non-coding RNA, 45 nt
Filed under: Schistosoma margrebowiei
Lineage: Eukaryota; Metazoa; Platyhelminthes; Trematoda; Strigeidida; Schistosomatidae
Source: RNAcentral